Molecule: ribosomal RNA, 433 nt
Filed under: uncultured bacterium
Lineage: Bacteria
Description: partial 16S ribosomal RNA
Rfam family: Bacterial small subunit ribosomal RNA
Source: RNAcentral
AACGAACGCUGGCGGCAUGCCUAACACAUGCAAGUCGAACGAGACCUUCGGGUCUAGUGGCGCACGGGUGCGUAACGCGUGGGAAUCUGCCCUUCGGUUGGGAAUAACUGAGAGAAAUUUCAGCUAAUACCUUAUAAUGUCUUCGGACCAAAGAUUUAUCGCCGAGGGAUGAGCCCGCGUAGGAUUAGGUAGUUGGUGGGGUAAUGGCCUACCAAGCCGACGAUCCUUAGCUGGUCUGAGAGGAUGAUCAGCCACACUGGGACUGAGACACGGCCCAGACUCCUACGGGAGGCAGCAGUGGGGAAUAUUGGACAAUGGGCGAAAGCCUGAUCCGGCAAUGCCGCGUGAGUGAUGAAGGCCUUAGGGUUGUAAAGCUCUUUUACCCGGGAUGAUAAUGACAGUACCGGGAGAAUAAGCUCCGGCUAACUCCGUG